Molecule: antisense RNA, 496 nt
Filed under: Kitasatospora griseola
Lineage: Bacteria; Bacillati; Actinomycetota; Actinomycetes; Kitasatosporales; Streptomycetaceae
Description: Saccharopolyspora sRNA 350
Rfam family: Saccharopolyspora sRNA 350
Source: Rfam by way of RNAcentral
GUGUACGGCCAGCGCCCGUCGGCGACGUCGAGCGCCUCGUCGCCGAGGUGGUCGCCGUCGGCGUGCACGGCGAGCACGGUGUCGUCGCCGUACUUGCCGGUGCCGAUCCGCUCGACCUUGCCGUGCGCGAUCAGGAAGACCUCGGUGAUCGGGGCGCCCUCCUGGACCAGCACCUCGCCCGCGCCGAAGCCGCGCUGGACGAAGCGCCCGGCGAGCUCGUUCAGCACCGCGAAGUCCUGGUAGCCGCGCAGCACCGGGACUUCGCUCAGGGUGGGCCCGCCACCUUGACCUCCCGGCCGGUCUGCACGAAGGACACCCGGCCGCGGCCGACCGCGUGGCUGAGCCGCCGGUUGACCCGGUAGGUGCCGGCCGAGACCUGGACCCAGGGCAGCUUGCGCAGCAGCCAGCGCGAGCUGAUCUCCUGCAUCUGCGGCUUGGACUUGGUCGUGGUGGCGAGGUUGCGCGCCGCCGCAGUGCUCAGGCUCUGCUGCGCCGG